UACGGAGGGGGGCUAGCGUUGUUCGGAAUUACUGGGCGUAAAGCGCACGUAGGCGGCUUUGUAAGUUAGAGGUGAAAGCCCGGGGCUCAACUCCGGAAUUGCCUUUAAGACUGCAUCGCUAGAAUUGUGGAGAGGUAAGUGGAAUUCCGAGUGUAGAGGUGAAAUUCGUAGAUAUUCGGAAGAACACCAGUGGCGAAGGCGGCUCACUGGACUGGUAUUGACGCUGAGGUGCGAAAGCGUGGGGGAGCAAACAGG
RNAcentral lists this ribosomal RNA (255 nucleotides) under uncultured bacterium. RNAcentral's name for it is "partial 16S ribosomal RNA". It matches the Rfam family "Bacterial small subunit ribosomal RNA", at positions 524 to 776 of the family's 1533-position model. The record is from RNAcentral.